Molecule: ribosomal RNA, 809 nt
Filed under: uncultured archaeon
Lineage: Archaea
Description: bacterial SSU rRNA
Rfam family: Archaeal small subunit ribosomal RNA
Source: RNAcentral
ACGGCUCAGUAACACGUAGCUAACCUACCCUUAGGACGUGGAUACCCCCGAGAAAUUGGGGUUAAUCCGCGAUAGAUGUAAUGUCCUGGAAUGGUAUUACGUCCAAAGGUAUUUCAUACAUGUUUGAAAUAUGCCUAAGGAUGGGGCUGCGGCCGAUCAGGCUGUUGGUGAGGUAAUGGCUCACCAAACCUUUGACCGGUACGGGCCAUGAGAGUGGUAGCCCGGAGAUGGACACUGAGACAAGGGUCCAGGCCCUAAGGGGCGCAGCAACCGCGAAACCUCCACAAUGCACUCACGUGCCGAUGGGGCUAUCUCGAGUGCCACCUGAUGAAGGUGGCUUUUCCUUGGUCUUCAAAGCCUUGGGAAUAAGAGGGGGGCAAGACUGGUGUCAGCCGCCGCGGUAACACCAGCCCCUCGAGUGGUGGGGAUGAUUAUUUGGCCUAAAGCGUCCGAGCCGGCCGAGCAAGUCUUCCGUUAAAUCCAGCGUCUCAAGCGUUGGACUGCGGGAGAUACUACACGGCUAGAGAGUGGGAGAGGUCAGCGGUAUUCUGGGGGUAGGGGCGAAAUCCUUUGAUCCCCGGAGGACCACCAGUGGCGAAGGCUGCUGACUAGAACACGUCUGACGGUCAGGGACGAAAGCUGGGGUAGCGAACCGGAUUAGAUACCCGGGUAGUCCCAGCCGUAAACUGAUGCAUGCUAGGUGUUGGGUUGGCCACGAGCCACCCCAGUGCCGCAGGGAAGCCGUUAAGCAUGCCGCCUGGGAAGUACGAUCGCAAGAUUGAAACUUAAAGGAAUUGGCGGGGGAGCAC